Molecule: ribosomal RNA, 520 nt
Filed under: uncultured bacterium
Lineage: Bacteria
Description: bacterial SSU rRNA
Rfam family: Bacterial small subunit ribosomal RNA
Source: RNAcentral
AGAGUUUGAUUAUGGCUCAGGACGAACGCUGGCGGCGUGCCUAACACAUGCAAGUCGAGCGGGGACAUGCGACGGAGCUGAAGUUUUCGGAUGGAAGCGAAGAUGUAUGUUCUAGCGGCGGACGGGUGAGUAACGCGUGAGCAACCUGUCCCUCACAGGGGGAUAACACAGCGAAAGUUGUACUAAUACCGCAUAAGACCACACCGGGACAUCCCGGAGGGGUCAAAGAUUUAUCGGUGAGGGGUGGGCUCGCGUCCGAUUAGAUAGUUGGUGAGGUAACGGCCCACCAAGUCGACGAUCGGUAGCCGACCUGAGAGGGUGAUCGGCCACAUUGGGACUGAGACACGGCCCAAACUCCUACGGGAGGCAGCAGGUGGGAAUAUUGGGCAAUGGGGGAACCCUGACCCAGCAACGCCGCGUGAGGGAAGAAGGUUUUCGGAUCGUAAACCUCUGUCCUUGGUGAAGAGAAAGAGACGGUAGCCAAGGAGGAAGCCCCGGCUAACUACGUGCCAGCAGCUGC